Molecule: ribosomal RNA, 482 nt
Filed under: uncultured bacterium
Lineage: Bacteria
Description: partial 16S ribosomal RNA
Rfam family: Bacterial small subunit ribosomal RNA
Source: RNAcentral
AUUGAACGCUGGCGGCAUGCCUUACACAUGCAAGUCGAACGGUAACGGGCCUUCGAGUGCCGACGAGUGGCGAACGGGUGAGUAAUACAUCGGAACGUGCCCGAUCGUGGGGGAUAACGAGGCGAAAGCUUUGCUAAUACCGCAUACGAUCUACGGAUGAAAGCAGGGGACCGCAAGGCCUUGCGCGGACGGAGCGGCCGAUGGCAGAUUAGGUAGUUGGUGGGAUAAAAGCUUACCAAGCCGACGAUCUGUAGCUGGUCUGAGAGGAUGAUCAGCCACACUGGGACUGAGACACGGCCCAGACUCCUACGGGAGGCAGCAGUGGGGAAUUUUGGACAGUGGGCGCAAGCCUGAUCCAGCCAUGCCGCGUGCAGGAUGAAGGCCUUCGGGUUGUAAACUGCUUUUGUACGGAACGAAAAGCCUUCUUUUAAUACAGGAGGGUCAUGACGGUACCGUAAGAAUAAGCACCGGCUAACUACGUG